GAUCAUUAUCGAAAAAAGAUAAAGAUAAACUUGACUGUUUGUCUUUAAUUAUUCUUUUAUCUUGUCCACUGUGUGAACUUUUUUAUCGGGCGGCCAAGGGUAUUUAGUUGCCCAGCCGGUCGAGAUGCAGAGUUUAUUCUCUCGUCGAAUUACCAUUUUUUAAUGCCAAUGUCAAUAACAUGAAUGUGUGAUAUAUAUAAAUCAUUUAAAACUUUCAGUGACGGAUCUCUUGGCUCUCGCAUCGAUGAAGAACGCAGUAAAUCGCGAUACGUAAUGUGAAUUGCAGAAUUAAGUGAAUCAUCGAAUCUUUGAACGCAUCUUGCGCUCUGGGGUAUUCCUCAGAGCAUGCCUGUUUGAGUGUCUUUUAAUUCUCAUACCCAAAAUUUUUGUUUAUUCAAACUUUCUUGGGGCAUGGAUCGUGGCUGCAAGACGAAUUUGAUUCUUUUAUUAAAUCGUCUCGGCUGAAAUUGAUGAGCGGACUUUAUCGUGUAAAAAGCGAUAACUCAGAGUUGCUUUUAUGUGUGUGUAUAUGUGUAUGCGUAUUGUAUCUACAAUAAACACCAAUAAAAAAGGGGCAUUGUGAGGAAAAUCGAGUUCGGCGUGAUAGGAUAUUAUCAUUACGUUGAGCAUUCAAUCGAUCGAAUCAUUUUGUGCUUUUGGUUGUUUAUUUUACAAGUCUGCGAACCAUGUUGCAAACAUAUUCUUAUGGGUCUCUGAGCAUUGUUUGCUACGAACAUUGUAUUAUAUCCAAUAAUGACCUCAAAU
RNAcentral lists this unclassified non-coding RNA (765 nucleotides) under Tritirachium dependens. RNAcentral's name for it is "sequence contains 18S rRNA gene, ITS1, 5.8S rRNA gene, ITS2, 28S rRNA gene". The stretch from base 210 to 363 matches the Rfam family "5.8S ribosomal RNA". Lineage: Eukaryota; Fungi; Basidiomycota; Tritirachiomycetes; Tritirachiales; Tritirachiaceae. The record is from RNAcentral.